RNAcentral lists this ribosomal RNA (469 nucleotides) under uncultured bacterium. Its description in RNAcentral is "partial 16S ribosomal RNA". It matches the Rfam family "Bacterial small subunit ribosomal RNA", at positions 27 to 507 of the family's 1533-position model. The record is from RNAcentral.
GGACGAACGCUGGCGGCGUGCUUAACACAUGCAAGUCGAACGGAAAGGCCCUGCUUUUGUGGGGUGCUCGAGUGGCGAACGGGUGAGUAACACGUGAGUAACCUGCCCUUGACUUUGGGAUAACUUCAGGAAACUGGGGCUAAUACCGGAUAGGAGCUCCUGCUGCAUGGUGGGGGUUGGAAAGUUUCGGCGGUUGGGGAUGGACUCGCGGCUUAUCAGCUUGUUGGUGGGGUAGUGGCUUACCAAGGCUUUGACGGGUAGCCGGCCUGAGAGGGUGACCGGCCACAUUGGGACUGAGGUACGGCCCAGACUCCUACGGGAGGCAGCAGUGGGGAAUAUUACACAAUGGGCGGAAGCCUGAUACAGCAACGCCGCGUGCGGGAUGACGGCCUUCGGGUUGUAAACCGCUUUCGCCUGUGACGAAGCGUGAGUGACGGUAAUGGGUAAAGAAGCACCGGCUAACUACGUG